Molecule: ribosomal RNA, 446 nt
Filed under: uncultured bacterium
Lineage: Bacteria
Description: bacterial SSU rRNA
Rfam family: Bacterial small subunit ribosomal RNA
Source: RNAcentral
CCAGACUCCUACGGGAGGCAGCAGUGGGGAAUAUUGGGCAAUGGGCGCAAGCCUGACCCAGCAAUGCCGCGUGAAGGAAGAAGGCCUUCGGGUUGUAAACUUCUUUUAUCAGGGACGAAGGAUGUGACGGUACCUGAUGAAUAAGCUCCGGCUAACUACGUGCCAGCAGCCGCGGUAAUACGGAGGAUGCGAGCGUUAUCCGGAUUUAUUGGGUUUAAAGGGUGCGUAGGCGGAUCGUUAAGUCAGUGGUCAAAUGGGGGGCCCCAACCCAUCCCCGCCAUUGAAACUGGCGAUCUUGAGUGGAAGAGAAGUAUGCGGAAUGCGUGGUGUAGCGGUGAAAUGCAUAGAUAUCACGCAGAACCCCGAUUGCGAAGGCAGCAUGCCGGCUUCCGACUGACGCUGAAGCACGAAAGCGUGGGGAUCGAACAGGAUUAGAUACCCCCGUA